UUAAAUUGAAGAGUUUGAUCAUGGCUCAGAUUGAACGCUGGCGGCAGGCCUAACACAUGCAAGUCGAACGGUAACAGGAAGCAGCUUGCUGCUUCGCUGACGAGUGGCGGACGGGUGAGUAAUGUCUGGGAAACUGCCUGAUGGAGGGGGAUAACUACUGGAAACGGUAGCUAAUACCGCAUAACGUCGCAAGACCAAAGAGGGGGACCUUCGGGCCUCUUACCAUCGGAUGUGCCCAGAUGGGAUUAGCUAGUAGGUGGGGUAACGGCUCACCUAGGCGACGAUCCCUAGCUGGUCUGAGAGGAUGACCAGCCACACUGGAACUGAGACACGGUCCAGACUCCUACGGGAGGCAGCAGUGGGGAAUAUUGCACAAUGGGCGCAAGCCUGAUGCAGCCAUGCCGCGUGUAUGAAGAAGGCCUUCGGGUUGUAAAGUACUUUCAGCGGGGAGGAAGGCGAUAAGGUUAAUAACCUUGUCGAUUGACGUUACCCGCAGAAGAAGCACCGGCUAACUCCGUGCCAGCAGCCGCGGUAAUACGGAGGGUGCAAGCGUUAAUCGGAAUUACUGGGCGUAAAGCGCACGCAGGCG
This 589-nucleotide ribosomal RNA is filed under the name Enterobacter cloacae subsp. cloacae. RNAcentral describes it as "bacterial SSU rRNA". It matches the Rfam family "Bacterial small subunit ribosomal RNA", at positions 1 to 577 of the family's 1533-position model. The record is from RNAcentral. Lineage: Bacteria; Pseudomonadati; Pseudomonadota; Gammaproteobacteria; Enterobacterales; Enterobacteriaceae.